CUCCAGUAUUUGUACAUUUCCACUACUGUUUUGGUGUGAUUGUUUCAUUCUGCUGCAAUUGUGAUAUUGCAGCAGCCACACAGAGUGAGUGGACAUGCUUGUCUUCUCUUUUUUGCUAUCCCCAAGCAGGGGAACAUCGCAUGGACACAUGAGUUGGUGAGGAUGUGUAUGAGAGGAUUGGAACUGGCAACUUUUGUAUGCUGUGGAUUUUUAUGGGUUCUUUUUUUUUCAGCUCACUGCUGGUGGGAACUUUUGACAUGGGCAAAAAAGGAUCUUCUUACUUUACAAAGUAAGAAGAUCCUUACUUUGAAUGCGAUUUCCUCCUUCUUGGCAGGGGGUUGGACUGGAUGGCCCAUGAGGUCUCUUCCAACUCUAUUAUUCUAUGAUUCUAUCAUUGUUAUUAUUGUAAUUGUUUUUUUUGGAGGCCAAGUGUGAAUGUAGGGAUUGGGGAGGUGGAUGAGUUGUGUUGUCAAGUUUCGUAUUUCUGGGGCGUUUAGUUGUGUUGUUAUAGUCACAAUGCGUUGUUGUGAGUUUUGUGGGUCCUGUGUGGUUUUGUGGUGUAGUUGUGUUGUUACAACUGGGAGGCAAGGCUUUUGCAUUGUGUUGCCAAGUUUUGUAUUUCUGGGGCGUUUAGUUGUGUUGUUAUCGCAUGAUGCGCUGUUGUGAGUUUUGUGGGUCUGGAUUGUGGUUUUGUGGUGUGGUUGUGUUGUUGUAACCUGGAGGCAAGCCUUUUGCAUUGUGUUGCCAAAUUUCGUAUUUCUGGGAUGUUUAGUUUUGUUGUUAUAGUCACUGCGCAAACAACUUUAUCAUUUUAUAUAUAUAGAUAGAAUCAUGUAGACAUAAAUGGCCACAAGGGCCAUCCACUUCAACCCCCCCCCCCCCGGCCGUGGAGGAACACACAAUCAAAACACUCCCAACAAACUCUCCAUAGUAGGAGACUUCACUAUGCUCUGAAGACGCAACAUAUUCUGCUGAUAACUGCUCUUACCAUCAGGAAGUUCUUCCUAAUGUAUAGGUGGAAUAUUCUUUCCUUCAAGUUAAAUUCAUUGAGCUGAGUCCUCGUCUCCAGAGUGGCAGAAAAGAAGCCUGCCCCCUCCUCAAUAUGACAUUAUUUCAAAUACGUAAACAUGGUUAUCAUAUCCCCUCUCAGCCUUCUUUUUUCCAAACUAAACACUCCCAGCUCCAAGGGUAGUAAUAGGCUGAAUGCAAGAGAGUGUGAACACAAUGACUGUUCGUUUCUCCUCAUAUUGUAUUUGGAUGUGAGAUAUUAUGACAGAUGCCAAACAGGGUUUGUCUGGAAACUUCCACUUCCAUGUUGAUUGGGGGUUCAUUAGGAUGAUGAUGAAAUGGCCCAUCCCAUCAUCCUAAUAUUUUAAACAAAGCCUAACAGAAUUAGAAAAUAAUAUGUUACAUAAUGAUUAUAACCAAAACUCCAGGGUAACGAGAGCUACUAGCAAGCAUCUUGUUAAAUACAAAUAAUCAUUUGUUUCCCAAAGAUAAUGCUCAAAACUCUGGCAUCGAAUUACAUAAUACAUUCUUUAAAAAUCAGUUCCAUAGUCAUGAGCAUUUUUAUUAAGAAAUAAUGUCUAAAUUUGUGUUAAAUAGGGAUUGCUGUCAGGCAAGAGCUCAGGUUAACAGCCUUAAUGAAUCAUUUCCUAUUUCUUGGCUUUAAUUACUCAUUCAUUUUCCAAUUCUUCAUUUAUCAGCACAAUUAGAAAGAUCCACUUUGAAUCCUGUGCUGGAAGUAAGGAAAAGAAAGAAAGAAAGAAAGAAAGAAAGAAGAAGAAGAAAGAGGAAGGAAGGGAGGAGCCAUAAUAGGGGAUGACUCAGAAAAGAGGUACAGUAGAGUCCCGCUUAUCCGACACUCCGUAUUAUCCAAGGCAAAUUUCUUCCCUCGCUCUCUCUCUCUCACACACACUUACCCUUCCGGGUCCCAGUGCUGUCGGAACCCAGCCGGGUGAUUGAGCGAGGGACGGAGGGUGGGUGAGUGAAGGAGGGCAGCAAAGGCCCUCCCUCACUCACUUGCUUGCUCGCUCUUUCACCAGGCCAGGCCCUGGUGCUGCCGGGAACUGGCAUGCUGAAGGAGUUGAGAGACAAAGGGUAGGCGAGCAAAGGAGGGCGGCAAAGGCCCUCCCUCGCUCUCUCACUUACUCACCCUGCCAGGUCCUGGUGCUGCCGUCGCUGCUGCUGAGACCCGGCCUGGUAAAUGAGUGAGGGAUGGAGGGUGGGCGAGUGAGCACCCACCCUGUUAUCCGUCAGUUUUGCUUAUCCCUCAUUCUGCCUGCCAGUUUAUGAUGGAUAAGCGAGACUACUGUAGUUGCAGUAUGACACAACAAGGUUUGAAAGUUUAACAGUGGGUCGAGAAUGUGAAAGGGUUGCGUGUUUCUUGCUAAGACAGAACCUUUGCCCACUCCCAUCUAAACAGAAGAUGAGGAAUUUAGCUAGAAAAAAGACAAGAUAGUUAAAGAACUCUCUGGAAUGUAAUAGAUUCAUAAUUAUGUUAUUUGCACUGAGUCUGUUUUAGCUGCAUAUAGUCCUAAGCAUGCUCACUAUUUUAGUAAUCAAUUGGAUAGCCACUGGCCCAUGAUAAAAACUGAGGUGUCCUUUCAAACAAGGUUUUCAUUUUUUCCUACCAUAGUCACAAAUAUUUUUUCUACUUACAAUACUUUCACAUUUUUUCAGAUAAAGAUGAAGGUAGGUAAGCCACAGGUACUCAAGCAGAAGUUCUCCUUUUGAGGAGGUCCUUGUUUAUGAGAUAUCCUUCAUUCAUAGGGAGACUUCCCUUGCAAUGGAGAAUUAUCUGCAGCUGACAUCUCUGAAGCUAGGAGCACUUCCAUCUCCAUUUUUGACAUUGUAUUACAGCUUGACAUGCCUUGGUUGGAGAAACUACAGCUUUAUGUUUUUUGUUUUGCUGAUCAAAGCCUGUACCUCCAUUCCGUACAUUCCUAGUUUG
Long non-coding RNA from Anolis carolinensis (green anole), 2953 nucleotides. The record is from Ensembl. Lineage: Eukaryota; Metazoa; Chordata; Lepidosauria; Squamata; Anolidae.